UCGCACCUACCGAUUGGAUGACUCGGUGAAAAAUUGGGACCGUGAAUCUGUUUGCUUCAUUGCGAAUGAAUUCGUGGGAACUCUUUUUAACCUCGCCAUCUAGAGGAAGGUG
This 112-nucleotide ribosomal RNA is filed under the name uncultured eukaryote. RNAcentral describes it as "partial small subunit ribosomal RNA". It matches the Rfam family "Eukaryotic small subunit ribosomal RNA", at positions 1676 to 1785 of the family's 1831-position model. The record is from RNAcentral.